CCCUUAGAUGUUCUGGGCCGCACGCGCGCUACACUGACUGGUGCAACAAGUGUCGCUCCUUGGCCGAUAGGCCUGGGCAAUCUUUGAACGCCAGUCGUGAUGGGGAUAGAUUCUUGCAAUUUUUGGUCUUCAACGAGGAAUUCCUAGUAAACGCAAGUCAUCAACUUGCAUUGAUUACGUCCCUGCCCUUUGUACACACCGCCCGUCGCACCUACCGAUUGAAUGGUCCGGUGAAGCCUCCGGAUUGGCGCGCACCUCGGUGCCGCCGAGAAGUUGGCUAAACCUUACCAUUUAGAGGAAGGUGAAGUCGUAACA
RNAcentral lists this ribosomal RNA (315 nucleotides) under uncultured eukaryote. Its description in RNAcentral is "partial 18S ribosomal RNA". It matches the Rfam family "Eukaryotic small subunit ribosomal RNA", at positions 1470 to 1796 of the family's 1831-position model. The record is from RNAcentral.